GGGCCCGCACAAGCGGUGGAGCAUGUGGUUCAAUUCGAAGCAACGCGCAGAACCUUACCAGGCCUUGACAUCCCGGUCGCGGCCCCUUGAAAGAGGGGCCUUCAGUUCGGCUGGACCGGUGACAGGUGCUGCAUGGCUGUCGUCAGCUCGUGUCGUGAGAUGUUGGGUUAAGUCCCGCAACGAGCGCAACCCUUGCCCUUAGUUGCCAUCAUUAAGUUGGGCACUCUAAGGGGACUGCCGGUGAUAAGCCGCGAGGAAGGUAGGGAUGACGUCAAGUCCUCAUGGCCCUUACGGCCUGGGCUACACACGUGCUACAAUGGCGGUGACAGUGGGCAGCAAUGGCGCGAGCCGGAGCUAAUCUCUAAAAGCCGUCUCAGUUCGGAUUGCACUCUGCAACUCGGGUGCAUGAAGUUGGAAUCGCUAGUAAUCGUGGAUCAGCAUGCCACGGUGAAUACGUUCCCGGGCCUU
This 468-nucleotide ribosomal RNA is filed under the name uncultured bacterium. RNAcentral describes it as "bacterial SSU rRNA". It matches the Rfam family "Bacterial small subunit ribosomal RNA", at positions 917 to 1382 of the family's 1533-position model. The record is from RNAcentral.